CUAAAAACAACAUAAUUUAUAUAUUUCACUUGUUCCUUGCGAGUUUUAAUACUCUGUGCGAACCGAAACUGCGACGCUGCAACAGGGACGAAUUCUCUCACUCACAGACAAAGGAUUGGAUUGAUUCAAACGAAUGAAAGGGUUUGGGUCAAUUGAAUUUUGAGGGAAUGGGUCUAAUAGGGUUUCUCUCUUUGAGCUGGACAUCGAAUAUUGGAAAAAGACUAUGGAUAUUCACUACUAUUGAUAUCUGAAACUUUAGAAGUGGGUUUAAAAAAAAAAAAAAAAUUUAUG
This 291-nucleotide long non-coding RNA is filed under the name Olea europaea subsp. europaea. Lineage: Eukaryota; Viridiplantae; Streptophyta; Magnoliopsida; Lamiales; Oleaceae. The record is from RNAcentral.